RNAcentral lists this ribosomal RNA (497 nucleotides) under uncultured bacterium. Its description in RNAcentral is "partial 16S ribosomal RNA". It matches the Rfam family "Bacterial small subunit ribosomal RNA", at positions 28 to 507 of the family's 1533-position model. The record is from RNAcentral.
GAUGAACGCUGGCGGCGUGCCUAAUACAUGCAAGUCGAGCGAACGGACGAGAAGCUUGCUUCUCUGAUGUUAGCGGCGGACGGGUGAGUAACACGUGGAUAACCUACCUAUAAGACUGGGAUAACUUCGGGAAACCGGAGCUAAUACCGGAUAAUAUUUUGAACCGCAUGGUUCAAAAGUGAAAGACGGUCUUGCUGUCACUUAUAGAUGGAUCCGCGCUGCAUUAGCUAGUUGGUAAGGUAACGGCUUACCAAGGCAACGAUGCAUAGCCGACCUGAGAGGGUGGUCGGCCACCCUGGAACUGAGACACGCUCCAUGCUCCUACGGGAGGCCGCAGUCGGGAACCUUCCGCAAUGGGCGAAAGCCUGACGGAGCAACGCCGCGUGAGUGAUGAAGGUCUUCGGAUCGUAAAACUCUGUUAUUAGGGAAGAACAUAUGUGUAAGUAACUGUGCACAUCUUGACGGUACCUAAUCAGAAAGCCACGGCUAACUACGUG